CCUACGGGUGGCAGCAGUGGGGAAUAUUGGACAAUGGGGGCAACCCUGAUCCAGCCAUGCCGCGUGUGUGAAGAAGGCCCUCGGGUUGUAAAGCACUUUCAGUGAGGAAGAACGCCUGGUGGUUAAUACCCAUCAGGAAAGACAUCACUCACAGAAGAAGCACCGGCUAACUCCGUGCCAGCAGCCGCGGUAAUACGGAGGGUGCGAGCGUUAAUCGGAAUUACUGGGCGUAAAGCGCGCGUAGGUGGCUUGAUAAGCCGGUUGUGAAAGCCCCGGGCUCAACCUGGGAACGGCAUCCGGAACUGUCAAGCUAGAGUGCAGGAGAGGAAGGUAGAAUUCCCGGUGUAGCGGUGAAAUGCGUAGAGAUCGGGAAGAAUACCAGUGGCGAAGGCGGCCUUCUGGACUGACACUGACACUGAGGUGCGAAAGCGUGGGUAGCAAACAGGAUUAGAUACCCUGGUAGUC
RNAcentral lists this ribosomal RNA (465 nucleotides) under Vreelandella stevensii. RNAcentral's name for it is "partial 16S ribosomal RNA". It matches the Rfam family "Bacterial small subunit ribosomal RNA", at positions 338 to 795 of the family's 1533-position model. The record is from RNAcentral. Lineage: Bacteria; Pseudomonadati; Pseudomonadota; Gammaproteobacteria; Oceanospirillales; Halomonadaceae.